Non-coding RNA from Biomphalaria pfeifferi, 1613 nucleotides. The record is from the annotation of a GenBank genome assembly. Lineage: Eukaryota; Metazoa; Mollusca; Gastropoda; Planorbidae.
GACCCACUUUAUCCGACAUCUUUAUUUGACCCACUUAACUUGACUAACUUUAUUUGACCCGCUUUGUGUGAUCCACUAAAGUUGACCUACUUUACUCGACCCACUUUUUGUGACCCACUUAACUUGACCCACUUUAUUAAACCAACAAGUCAUGUCCUAGGAGAAGAAGUCUAAUAAUAUUACGUAGUUUCCAAUAGCUUCAGCUUCCUAAGAAACCUAGUGAUCAAUGAAGCUCACUAUACAUUUUUGUUAAUUCCAUCAAAUGGUUUAACUAACAAUGCCAAGACAAUUUCUUUAACUAAUUGUCACUUUUUCGUAAACCAUCAUUUAGUAAAGUAUACCCUGGAGAUGAACAGCUAUCAUCACUUCAAAUCUCAUACAGAAUAACAUUAAUUGAGCAUUAAGUUAGGUCUCAACUGUCUCUAAGAAAUGUCUGACACGGGAUAUCAGGCUGAGAAUCCUCAAAAAGUUAUUAAACGAAACAAUUUUUUAAACAUUUUUUUUUUGUUUGCUGUUGCUUUUCGUCAACACAUAACAUGAACACGAUUUGAGUUUAUAUAUUCCUAAAAUUAUAUUUAUGUUUAUAGAUUUAUAUACAGCCGCACAAAGAAAUCAAAUAAAACGAAUAACUAAAAAUCCCGAACUGCUAAAAUCUAAAUAACAAUUUUGUCACUCGCUUUAUCAUUUAUCAAGUCUUUUAUUAAAUAUAUUUUUUUUUUGUUAAAUAAAGAAACACAUUUGGGGGGGGGGGGGGGGGGAACUUUAAAAAAAAGGUGUCUAACACAAUAGUACAAAACUCAGAUAAGAUUAACAAAACAAAAAAAAAAUUCAAAUUGUAUAUCGACAUUAGUAAUCAACAAUAUCAGCCAUCACCAUAAAGAAAAAAAAUUCAAACAACAAAGAACAAAAUUGUUUCAUAUUUGUCUGUAAAUAAUAUUUUUGUUUGUAAUUAGACACCUGUUUGUUUCAAAUAUUUCUGCUCAUGUCAAUUGAAGUGCAAAAGAAGAUAUAAUUCAAAGACAAUCUAAAUACAGUCUAAAAUAAAAAAAAAUUAAAAUCUUGAAAUUUUUCUUUGAAUGAUCAGCCUUAAUAGUCCAUGUGGUCAGUUCCAUGAUGACCACGAGAUGGGUUUCAACUGGACAGGCCGAACUAGGGCUAUAAACUAGGCGUAUAGAUAACUGUUUUCGUGUGAGUCCUGUAAGAAAUAAAAAAAAAUGUUACUUUUUUUUUUUUCAAAACUUAAAAUUGUAUUCAAGUGAUAAAACAAUCAACAGAGGUACCCCGAUUUUCGUUCGCCCUCGGAAACGUAUACAAAUCUGACAAGUUUGCCACAAGCAGCGCCAUAACAGCAAAGUGUUGAGUUUAAUGAAAUUGAACUUCAGCGGCUUUGUCAUGCAAUGUGGGCACAAAGGCUGGAUAGCAAUGCGUUAGGGCCGGAAUAAGCACAAGAGACUUAAUUUGGACAUCACUGACAGAAUGUAUUAAAGUAGUUAGAACAUCUAAACUGUUCUAUAUCCAUAGCUGCCUAGUCCUCAGCCCACAGCAGCACUUGCGAAACUCAGUCUCUUUAAUUAAAGGGAUAGCCAUCGACACUAAAAUCAAACUGAUGCGCU